UGACCUCGAAUCAGGGGGAC
Molecule: ribosomal RNA, 20 nt
Filed under: Clavulina cristata
Lineage: Eukaryota; Fungi; Basidiomycota; Agaricomycetes; Cantharellales; Hydnaceae
Description: partial 25S ribosomal RNA
Source: RNAcentral